Molecule: RNA transcript, 953 nt
Organism: Drosophila biarmipes
Lineage: Eukaryota; Metazoa; Arthropoda; Insecta; Diptera; Drosophilidae
Gene name: nipped-B protein-like
Exons: 3
Source: RefSeq, a predicted model, not a curated record
AUAAAUUUCAAAUCUAUAUUUCGAAAGGAAAGAUACGAUAAAAUUAGAAACAGUAUCUUAGGAGAUAUUUUGACAUCAAUUGAUCGCUUACCUUCAUCAAAAAAAAACCUUCGGCCAUACAAACUUACAAAUAAUGGAGGCAAUAUACAAAUGGUUACAGCACUUGUUCUACAACUUAUUCAAUGUGCUACCAUUCUACCAGACUCACUUUGUAAUAACGGAAAAUUAAGUAAUAAGUCUCAACAGAGUGUUGUUAUAAACGAAAUUAUUUCAGGUGGAGAUAAAAAACCAGUAAAACCACAUCAGGAUAUAUUGGUUUUACAAAAGUAUGAUGUAGCUGUCAGUAUUGGUGGAAAUUUUUUGACCACUUUUUUAAAUAAAUGCAAAUCAAGGUCCAAUGAAACUGAUUUUCGACCACUUUUUGAAAAUUUUAUUCAUGAUCUACUAGCCACCGUAAACAAGCCUGAAUGGCCAGCAUCUGAAUUGUUACUUUCCCUUUUGGGAACAAUGCUGGUCCGGUAUGUGUCUGAUAAAGGUAUAGAACAAAGUAUUCGCUUAGUUUCAUUGGAUUACCUUGGCAUAGUAGCUGCUCGAUUGCGUAAGGACACAGUUGAAUCUCGAUGUAAGGCUAACAUUAUUGAUUCAAUGAUAAAGUCUAUAAAAGUAGAACAAGAAAAGGAGGGAGACUUUAUAGAAAAUGUUGAUCAAUUUAAAUUGCAUCCCGAGGAGCGGAGAACAGAGUUUCUACAAAAAAUACUUCUCGAUUUUCUAGCUGUGAAUGCUCAAGAAGAGAAUUUAAUCUGGGACUAUGCUCGACAUUUUUAUUUGGUACAGUGGUAUCGGGAUGUCAUUUAUCAAAGACGUCGAAUGAAGGAUGCUAAAAAAGAAUUGGCUGUGAGAAAGUCUAAAGGUAUAACUAAGCACAGGACUGACGGUAUGUUUUUAAAUAUUAA